RNAcentral lists this unclassified non-coding RNA (210 nucleotides) under rhizosphere metagenome. RNAcentral describes it as "partial ribosomal RNA internal transcribed spacer region". The record is from RNAcentral.
GUAGGUGAACCUGCGGAAGGAUCAUUAAAAAUGAAGCCGGGAAACCGGUCCUUCUAACCCUUGAUUAUCUUAAUUUGUUGCUUUGGUGGGCCGCGCAAGCACUGGCUUCGGCUGGUGAGUGCCCGCCAGAGAACCCAAAACUCUGAAUUACAGUGUCGUCUGAGUACUAUAAAAUAGUUAAAACUUUCAACAACGGAUCUCUUGGUUCUG